RNAcentral lists this ribosomal RNA (361 nucleotides) under uncultured Cortinarius. RNAcentral's name for it is "eukaryotic LSU rRNA". It matches the Rfam family "Eukaryotic large subunit ribosomal RNA", at positions 1 to 354 of the family's 3401-position model. The record is from RNAcentral. Lineage: Eukaryota; Fungi; Basidiomycota; Agaricomycetes; Agaricales; Cortinariaceae.
GUGACCUCAAAUCAAGUAGGACUACCCGCUGAACUUAAGCAUAUCAAUAAGCGGAGGAAAAGAAACUAACAAGGAUUCCCCUAGUAACUGCGAGUGAAGCGGGAAAAGCUCAGAUUUAAAAUCUGGCGGCCUUUUUGCUGUCCGAGUUGUAAUCUAGAGAAGUGUUAUCCGCGCUGGACCGUGUACAAGUCUCCUGGAAUGGAGCAUCAUAGAGGGUGAGAAUCCCGUCUUUGACAUGGACUACCAGGGCUUUGUGAUGCGCUCUCAAAAGUCGAGUUGUUUGGGAAUGCAGCUCAAAAUGGGUGGUAAAUUGCAUCUAAAGCUAAAUAUUGACGAGAGACCGAUAGCGAACAAGUACCGU